UCGGGGCAGGGAAUGGUCACUACUGGGGAUCGGGGCAGGGAAUGGUCAUUGUCGGGAGAUCUGGACAGAGGGGAUCUUGUCCUGGGGGAUCGGGGCAGGGAAUGGUCACUACUGGGGAUCUGGACAGGGAAUGGUCAUUCCUGGGGGCUCUGGACAGGGAAUGGUCAUUCCUGGGGGAUCUGGACAGGGAAUGGUCACUACUGGGGGAUCUGGACAGGGAAUGGUCACUACUGGGGGAUCUGGACAGGGAAUGGUCAUUACUGGGGAUCUGGACAGGGAAUGGUCAUUCCUGGGGGCUCUGGAGGGAGGGGUGGUCCUGCUUCCCCGCGCUCCAGGAGAGUGGCACCUGGAUCGGGCUUCUCCAGCCGCAGAGGAAUCAGUGCCCGGCGUGUCCUCAGGCUGGGGGAAGGUGGCAGGUGCUGGGAUCAGCUCUCCAGCCCUUUUCUCCCAGCCCUUUGCCAUCACUGUUUGGAGGAAGGGCCCAGCACCAUGUCUGGGUGGUACCUCCGAGUGUGGCUGGGGGGAGAGGUGUGUGGGAAUUCUCAGGAGCUGAAUUCCUAAGCUGGAGCUGGACUUUGAUAAUCCUUGUGGAGGGUCCCUUUCCACGUCAGAAUAUUCCAUGAAUCUGUGAAAUGGGAUUUCUCAGCUGCAGGCACCCAUGUGAAGGAGGUCAUCUUAAUGUGACUGUGGUGUAGCUGAAAGCAGAUCUUGAGAAGCAGAGGGUCAAGCAUGUGAGAUUGCUACAGGAAAAUAGAAUUUACUGAGAACUUCUUAACUGAAAUAAAGUCUUACAUUUUUUGGCAAUAUGCUGUUAAAAGGUUAAUGUGUGUUUCAGUAGUUCAUAAAACAAUGGCACCUGUUGCUGCAUUUAAAUGUGUGAAAAUAAACUUGUUCCUAGCUUUUUCUUUAAAA
This is a long non-coding RNA of Passer domesticus (house sparrow), 912 nucleotides long. RefSeq lists it as uncharacterized. The transcript is spliced from 2 exons. The record is from RefSeq and is a predicted model, not a curated record. NCBI's taxonomy places the organism in Eukaryota, Metazoa, Chordata, Aves, Passeriformes, Passeridae.